GGUCGGGUAUAUGCCAGCGUGGGUAGCGUUAAGGUGACUGGGCAGGGCAGAGUGGGCAUGCAUAGCGCCAGUUGCAGCUUCGCCCAGAGGGGGACAGUUGUGCACGGCCUGACUGCUGCCUGCACGGUGUUGGUGUGUGAUGCGCGGAAAGUGCGACUUGCUUUCGGCCACAGGGAGGCAAAGGGAGCGAGAGAAACGCGUCUGGAGGAAAAGAGGGAGAUAUUGAGACAGGGAGAGAGAGAGAGGAGAGAGGAUAUAUAAAGAUGAGACGCGGGAGAAGGUGUAGAUGAAGGAUCUCCCCCACAGACCUUCGGCACUAAGAUCAUCACCACCUCCAGCGCCUCCUCCAAGAGGCCAUUUCGCCAUCAGAUUUUCCAAAAGGUACCAACGCCAGUACCAUACAGAUGGGGAACACCGGUAGAAUGAGAGGCUACGAACUGACCCAAGGAACGUGACGUCAUGAAAAACAAAUGAAUAACAAAAACAGGAAUCAACAACGACACACGGGCGGCGGCAGAUAACAUACUUUUCUAUCAACAAACACAUCACCUGCCAAAAUUCUGUAAUUUUUGAAGGAAGGGAGUACGUUUUUUUGAGAAUCAAGGUUUGUUCUUCUGUAAUAUUACUUCUUAGAGGAAAAAAGAGAAUCCUGUUUUGUACUGAUAUAGAGAAUUAUAAUAAAGAUUGAUAUUUUAUA
Penaeus monodon (black tiger shrimp) is the source of this 697-nucleotide long non-coding RNA. RefSeq lists it as uncharacterized. The transcript is spliced from 5 exons. NCBI's taxonomy places the organism in Eukaryota, Metazoa, Arthropoda, Malacostraca, Decapoda, Penaeidae. The record is from RefSeq and is a predicted model, not a curated record.